CUCUAGGCGGGAGUCUACGGGCGGGGGGGACACACUAAUCCUCAGGCUCCUGCAAACAGUUCUGCCUUCCCCAUUCCUUCCUGCAGGCAAGGCACGCAUUUGCCUACUCAAGGUGCCAAGAAUUCAGGCAACAAAGAAAUCUGCCCAUUCAGCUGAACUGACCCUUUCUCCAACUUCGGUGACAUUCGGGUCCUUUGUGCGAGCCUGUGUGCGUGUGGCCAUUACCUCGACCGCGAAGCAAGCGUUGCACUUCCCUCCCUGCCUGGCCUCUCUCCUGCCACUUUCCUGUUUGGGGAUCCAUCCACCCCCGGCCUGGUCCUGCCUGCCUCUCCCAGGAGGCCCCGGCAUCUUCCUCUGUGACCCCUCUUGCUGGCCACAGCUUCGUCCUGCCUUCCUGCACCUCCUUGGACAUCCCCACCGAAGCAGAGGCCGGUCACCUCUUGUUCCUCUGGAGAAACUCCCAGCUCCAAGUCGAGAUCAGAGGAGUCUUGGAAAGGUGGAUUCCAAAUAAAGCUUAUUAGAGAGAAGGAAGCGGGCAAAGCGUCACUUGUUGAGUGAGACAGAGUUCAACAAUUGCUGAACAAAAGCCGUCUGUGCACCUGACACUGAAGUUUGAGAAGAGUGGGUGGAAUUUCCCAAAGAUGCGGGGACGCGGCGUCUCCCCCGGCUCCAUGGUGAGCAGGUGCUCCACGGAGAACGUGGCUUUUAGGUGACGGAACACAAGACCUCAGAACUGUGGUUUUCGAAGCCAGAGCUCCCGGCAGCCCAUCCUUAUCACAUGCCUGUA
Molecule: long non-coding RNA, 787 nt
Filed under: Felis catus (domestic cat)
Lineage: Eukaryota; Metazoa; Chordata; Mammalia; Carnivora; Felidae
Description: lncRNA (ENSFCAG00000048771.1)
Source: RNAcentral